GAUGAACGCUGGCGGCGUGCCUAAUACAUGCCAGUCGAGCGAACAGACGAGGAGCUUGCUCCUCUGACGUUAGCGGCGGACGGGUGAGUAACACGUGGAUAACCUACCUAUAAGACUGGGAUAACUUCGGGAAACCGGAGCUAAUACCGGAUAAUAUGUUGAAUCGCAUGGUUCAACAGUGAAAUACGGUCUUGCUGUCACUUAUAGAUGGAUCCGCGCCGCAUUAGCUAGUUGGUAAGGUAACGGCUUACCAAGGCAACGAUGCGUAGCCGACCUGAGAGGGUGAUCGGCCACACUGGAACUGAGACACGGUCCAGACUCCUACGGGAGGCAGCAGUAGGGAAUCUUCCGCAAUGGGCGAAAGCCUGACGGAGCAACGCCGCGUGAGUGAAGAAGGUCUUCGGAUCGUAAAACUCUGUUAUUAGGGAAGAACAAAUGUGUAAGUAACUAUGCACGUCUUGACGGUACCUAAUCAGAAAGCCACGGCUAACUACGUG
RNAcentral lists this ribosomal RNA (497 nucleotides) under uncultured bacterium. RNAcentral describes it as "partial 16S ribosomal RNA". It matches the Rfam family "Bacterial small subunit ribosomal RNA", at positions 28 to 507 of the family's 1533-position model. The record is from RNAcentral.